UGGACAAAGAAGGCGCUGCAGCGCAGGCGCACUCCUGCCACCGCCGCUCGAUGGCCGACGCCGCUGCAUCACCUUCUCUUCCUCCCCUCUCUCACGCCGCCGCCGCCGCCGCUCAGCACAUCUCGGCCUCCCCUUCCUUGCAGCUUCUUUCCGUCCCAAUCAAGACUCGUCGAUCCCCUCGACCCCGGCCGGGCGCGAUGGUCAGGUCGCCGGCGGCACCAACCCCGACCCCCAGGUCACCGGCAGCCCCAACCCCGACCUCCACCUCACCAGCAGCCCCAACCCUGACCCCUAGGUCGCCGGUUUCCCCAACCCCGACCCCCAGCUCACCUGCUGCAGGAGCACAAGGUUACUAAUGAGCUCUUGCGUGCCAUAAAAACUGAGAAGGCUAAUGACCGGAUCUUGAAGAGCACAAGGGUGCUGGUGAGCUCCUUAUGGAACUACCAAAGUGCAAGAAAAGGAAGCGAAGUAGGCAGAGUAGCGGCGAGCUUCAUGGGGAACACCAAAAAACGAGCAAAGUCAUCAUGAAGCCGUCGACGUCCAAGAAAAAGAGGAAGGCAAGUGAAGGAAUGUGCACUAAUCCACCGGCACCAUUGUUUGGACCUUUGGCCAUUGAUAUGGAUAAGCAGGCACCACCAUUGGAGAAGAAAAGGCUUAAUAAGAGAGAUGUUGCAACUAUAGCAUCACUUGGAUCUGGGUCCAUUGACAAGGAUAAGCAGCCAUCACCUGGAUCUUUGCCUGUUGACAAGGAUAAGCAGCCAUCACUUGGAUCUUUGCCCCUUAACAGUAAUAAGCAGCCAUCAUAUGGAUCUUUGCCCGUUGACAAGAAUAAGCAUCCAUCACUAUCCAAAAACGUGGUAAGGUCUCCAGUCCUAAACAAUGUCGUAGUUUCAUUCUUAGCAAGAAGAGAAAAAAAGGCUAAGUCACUAGAGAGAUCCCCUACGUCAUAGCCUUCACUGCUAGCUCUGUCACCCAAAGUAGCAAACCUUGGUUCACGCAGACCACGAAAAUUAAAAUCAAAAAUUUGGAACGGGGCAGAACUGAUAUAUAUUGAUGGAAUGCUUGCACAAGGUCGUUGUACUUACUGCAACCAACUACUUCCUGCCUCAAAAAAGUCAGGGACAAGUCAUAUCGGUACACUUGUUGGUACGUGAGGAGAGAUCUAAAAUGGAUGGUAUGGUUGCCAAGAUACGAACUGAUAGUGCAAUUGAUCCAGAGUGGAAGUUUGACCAAGGGCGUGCACGUAGAGCACUGGCAAAGUUGAUUGUGCUACAUGAAUUACCUUUCACUUUUGUUGAAUAUCCUGGCUUUAGAUCCUUUGUUAAGAUGUUGAAUCCAUGGUUCAAUGUGGUAUGCAGGGAAACAAUUAAACAAGAUUGCAUUGAUGCAUAUGAUAGACACAAAAAUGAAACUCAAGCAUUUUUUUAGCAAUCUAAAUUCUCGAGUAUCAUUAACGAGUGACAUGUGGACGUCCAAUCAGAAGCUGGGUUAUUUAUGCAUAACUGCCCACUUUAUUGAUGGCUCAUGGACUCUACAAAACAGAAUAAUCAGGUUUUGCCUCUUGGAAACUCCACAGAAUACUCAUAACAUGUUUGACAUGGUGCAAAAUAGCUUGAGAGAUUGGAAAAUGGAAGACAAAAUCUUUAGCUUUACCCUAGACAAUGCACCAGUUAAUACCUUGAUGUGGCCACUUGAGAAAAAUUUCGGCAGAUAGGUAUCUUCUGCAUCAUAGUGGAAAAUUAUUGCAUGUUAGAUGUGCUGCACAUGUAUUGAAUCUAGUGGUGCAAGAUGGGCUCGACGCAGUGGCGUCAGUUGUUGAUAAAAUCAGAGAACCAGUGCAGUAUGUCAAGAGUUCGCAAGGUAGAAUGGAGAAAUUAUAUGUGAUGAUUGCGCGGGUGGGACUUGCUUGUAAAAACCAUCCUUCGCUAGAUGUGCCUACCCGAUGAAAUUCAACGUACCUAAUGCUUGAAUCAUCAUUGUCGUUCAGAGCAGCGUUCGAAGCCUUGAAAGAAGCUGACAAAGAUUAUAAAUUUGCUCCUUCAGCUAGUGAACGGGAGAUGGCCGAAGCUAUUUGCCAUCUUUUGGGCGCUUUUUACACAGCCACAAAGAAAAUCUCGGGUAGGACAUAUCCCACCUCUCACCUAUACUUCUAUGAGGUCUGGAAUGUGAAGCAGAUAAUGGAGAGAGAAGUUGUAAGUGAAAAUCCUACCAUUGUUACCAUGGUGAAAGAGAUGGGGAAGAAAUUGAUCAAAUAUUUUGAGGAGUCAUUCUUAGCAAGUUGUCUGCCGGUGAUAUUUGAUCCAAGGUACAAAUAUGAAUAUGUUGACUUCCGACUGACCGCAGCGUUUGGUGAUGGCGCAAAGAAAUAUCUUACCUAGGUGAAUAGUGCGAUGAAGAUCCUAUUUGCUGAAUAUGCAUCUGAAUUUGGAAACACUUCUGAUGAAGGUGAUGAGGUUGCAGAGAAGGAUGGUGAGGGCACUCUUGAUGACUGGGAUAAGCAUUUGAGAUUGAAAAGAUCCCAUAACUCAAAUGAGCUACAACGAUAUCUUGAAGAAGACUUGUUUCCUCGCCGACAGAAAUUGGAUAUCUUAAAGUGGUGGAAGAUUCACUCCCCAAAGUAUCUGGUGCUUGCAGCUAUAGCACAGGACAUAUGGGAGUGUCCGCGUCUACAGUGCAUGCAGAGGUUGCAUUCAGCAAUGCUGGAUGGAUCAUCACUGAACAAAGAAGUAGUUUGACCCCGAGUACUGUUGAGACGCUGAUGUGCCUUGAGGAUUGGUUUCGAGCAGCUGAUCGCCAAAAGGCGGAACCAACAGUUGAAGACCAUGGUGGUGAUCAAGAGGAUGUUGGAACCACCUAAUGUAAUUCUGCUAGUUGUACUUUGCACUUUAGUACAUGAUAUAUUUUUAUUCUCGAAAAGAGAUGACCUUUAUAUUUGGCCAAGCUCAUUGUCCAAGGGUUUUUGAGAUGCAUAGAGAUUCCUUUUUAAAACAGCUAGUACAAAUGACCCCUUCCAAGUCGCUAAUUCUGUUUCAAAUUCUAGUUUUAUUCGAA
Molecule: RNA transcript, 3051 nt
Organism: Triticum dicoccoides
Lineage: Eukaryota; Viridiplantae; Streptophyta; Magnoliopsida; Poales; Poaceae
Exons: 5
Source: RefSeq, a predicted model, not a curated record